RNAcentral lists this small nuclear RNA (23 nucleotides) under Arabidopsis thaliana (thale cress). Its description in RNAcentral is "snRNA_03199". Lineage: Eukaryota; Viridiplantae; Streptophyta; Magnoliopsida; Brassicales; Brassicaceae. The record is from RNAcentral.
CUUUUAACCCUUUGUAAAUCUUU